GGGAACCUUACUAGGACUGAUUGGUGACCGGAUUGUAGCUGGAGCUGAUGCAGGAGCAAGGUUUGAAGCAGAAGUGGUCUCGGUUGCUUGUCUCUUCCAGCGCACACUUUCCUCCAACCCGCGAACUGAUUUUCUCCUCAGUGGAAGCUUCAUCUUCGGAACCAUUUGCGCAAGCAGAAAUAGCAAGAAACUUAGGAGAGCAAAUGUGAGGGAGA
Molecule: long non-coding RNA, 215 nt
Filed under: Elaeis guineensis (African oil palm)
Lineage: Eukaryota; Viridiplantae; Streptophyta; Magnoliopsida; Arecales; Arecaceae
Description: long non-coding RNA (EGUI_LNC024395)
Source: RNAcentral